Lolium perenne is the source of this 759-nucleotide long non-coding RNA. RefSeq lists it as uncharacterized. NCBI's taxonomy places the organism in Eukaryota, Viridiplantae, Streptophyta, Magnoliopsida, Poales, Poaceae. The record is from RefSeq and is a predicted model, not a curated record.
UCCCCGGCCCAUUUGCCCUGGUUUAGCCCACCUGUGCAUUUGGAUGCCCGCGAGGCAUUGUUUCCGCGUCCUUUCCGCGUUCGUCGCCGGGAGAGAAUUCCACUAGUCGAGACAUGGGGAACUAGAUCCGCGACUUGGUCUCGCGAUUGGGAGGCGGCCACACCGAUGCUCGCGAUCUCCUCAUCCCCCGGCGACAGCCAUCCGCCGUCCACCACCUCCGUCCUCCGCAGUCCGAGGUCUCCUCCUCCUUCCGAGCUCUCCGCCGGCCGGCUUCGCUCAGGCUCUCCUCCGCUCGCCUUCGUCCAAUAUCUCCGUCCGGUCCAAGACCACCGUCCAAGCUCGUCUACAAAGGUUAUCCCCUUCAUCAAAUUUGCUCCAGAUCUUGCUCGUUUCUCUAGGUCUAUCUCCAGAUUGCCACAAAUCCACAAAGUUUAUCCGGAUCUCGCUUGUUUCUUUAGGUCAAGAACGUGAGCAGGAUGUUUGCCAAUUUUGAUGCCUGCUUAGUUGUGUCUUGCAAAUUACUGAAGGUUUUGAAAGCCAUUAUUUCUGCUAUCAUUAAUCGCUGUGGUUGUUAGCAUUACAUCUGUUGCUGCUUAUAACAUCGAUGAAUUGUAACUUUAUUAGUGAUGCCUGAACCAAAAUACUGGACUGCCUUGUGAUCUUAAGACUCAUUGUAAUGUGUGCAAUCAUACUAUGAACUAGAUGAUACCCCACGCGUUGCUGCGGAAAAUUUAUGGAAUAAAUUUGCGAAACGUGAAA